GAGGGUAUAGCUCAGUGGUAGAAUGUGUGCUUAGCAUGCACUGGGUCCUGGAUUCAAUCCCUAGUACCUCCA
Molecule: transfer RNA, 72 nt
Filed under: Camelus bactrianus (Bactrian camel)
Lineage: Eukaryota; Metazoa; Chordata; Mammalia; Artiodactyla; Camelidae
Also listed under: 2 other names
Rfam family: tRNA
About the family: Transfer RNA (tRNA) molecules are approximately 80 nucleotides in length. Their secondary structure includes four short double-helical elements and three loops (D, anti-codon, and T loops). Further hydrogen bonds mediate the characteristic L-shaped molecular structure. tRNAs have two regions of fundamental functional importance: the anti-codon, which is responsible for specific mRNA codon recognition, and the 3' end, to which the tRNAs corresponding amino acid is attached (by aminoacyl-tRNA synthetases). tRNAs cope with the degeneracy of the genetic code in two manners: having more than one tRNA (with a specific anti-codon) for a particular amino acid; and 'wobble' base-pairing, i.e. permitting non-standard base-pairing at the 3rd anti-codon position.
Source: Rfam by way of RNAcentral